This 21-nucleotide microRNA is filed under the name Corchorus olitorius. RNAcentral's name for it is "aly-miR172b-". The record is from RNAcentral. RNAcentral also lists the same sequence under 2 other names. Lineage: Eukaryota; Viridiplantae; Streptophyta; Magnoliopsida; Malvales; Malvaceae.
GCAGCAUCAUCAAGAUUCUCA